ACACCUCAACUCUCAUGGUUUGCCAUGAUGAGCUUGGACUUUGGGGGUCUUGCUGGCCUGUGGUCGGCUCCUCUCAAACGGAUCAGCUUGCCAGUGUUUGGUGGCACCACGGGUGUGAUAACUAUCUACGCUUGUGGUUUUCCACCAGAUAACCUUCAGCGAUGGAGGUUCACUGGAGCUCAUAAAUGUCUCUCCUCAGCGAAGACAGCUCUUUGAAC
Molecule: unclassified non-coding RNA, 218 nt
Filed under: uncultured Tomentella
Lineage: Eukaryota; Fungi; Basidiomycota; Agaricomycetes; Thelephorales; Thelephoraceae
Description: partial internal transcribed spacer 2
Source: RNAcentral